RNAcentral lists this ribosomal RNA (447 nucleotides) under uncultured bacterium. RNAcentral's name for it is "bacterial SSU rRNA". It matches the Rfam family "Bacterial small subunit ribosomal RNA", at positions 330 to 794 of the family's 1533-position model. The record is from RNAcentral.
UCCAGACUCCUACGGGAGGCAGCAGUGGGGAAUAUUGCACAAUGGGGGGAACCCUGAUGCAGCGACGCCGCGUGAGCGAUGAAGUAUUUCGGUAUGUAAAGCUCUAUCAGCAGGGAAGAAAAUGACGGUACCUGACUAAGAAGCCCCGGCUAACUACGUGCCAGCAGCCGCGGUAAUACGUAGGGGGCGAGCGUUAUCCGGAUUCACUGGGUGUAAAGGGAGCGGAGACGGCCAUGCAAGCCAGGGGUGAAAGCCCGGGGCCCAACCCCGGGACUGCCCUUGGAACUGUGCGGCUAGAGUGCGGGAGGGGCAGGCGGAAUUCCUGGUGUAGCGGUGAAAUGCGUAGAUAUCAGGAGGAACACCGGCGGCGAAGGCGGCCUGCUGGACCGCGACUGACGUUGAGGCUCGAAAGCGUGGGGAGCGAACAGGAUUAGAUACCCUCGUAGC